RNAcentral lists this ribosomal RNA (311 nucleotides) under uncultured eukaryote. RNAcentral describes it as "partial 18S ribosomal RNA". It matches the Rfam family "Eukaryotic small subunit ribosomal RNA", at positions 1470 to 1796 of the family's 1831-position model. The record is from RNAcentral.
CCCCUAGACGUUCUGGGCUGCACGCGCGCUACAAUAAUACGCACAGCGAGUAUCACCGAGCUCGAAAGGGCAAGGUAAACAAUAGAAAAGGUACUGUAAUGGUUAUAGAUCCUUGUAAUUAUUGAUCUUCAACGAGGAAUUCCUAGUAAGUAUGUGUCAUCAUCACGCACUGAUUACGUCCCUGCCCUUUGUACACACCGCCCGUCGCUCCCACCGAUUGAGUGAGCCGAUGAAACUGCCGGAUGUGGACUAUUCAUAGUCUGCAGAAGAUAUUUGAAUCGUAGCGCUUAGAGGAAGGAGAAGUCGUAACA